UAUAUUUGUACAAAAACAAGAACAAAGUUACUCUUUUUAAUUCUUUUUUUUUUACUCAAGUCUGCCAAAAAAAUGACAAAAUACAGCAAAAACUUGAUGCUAUUUAAGGAACUGCUAGUCCUCAUCGUAAUUAUCAGGUAUUCAGCUGGCGAAAGCAACACUGAAGUUCCAUACACAGAGUCUAAAACGACUCUAGAAAACCCAUUCGAAAACGCCUUGGAUGAAAACUUUGACAUUGAGAUUGUGCCAAUUGUUUCAAACUUCAGCUUCACGCUUCCAGAAGAAGAAAGUGGAACUGAGGCUGAAAAAAGCGGCUCUUCAGUUCUCAAUUUAGUUCUGCCAGGAGCAACGAGUAAAAAUGUUUCAGAGAGUGACAUUGAUCAAGAGCACAUAUCAUACGAAAAGAAAUUGAACUCAAGACAGUUGUGGAAGAAACGUUUCAUCGUGUUUAGCGUGCUAAUAUCCACAGCUGCGCUGCUAGUUGUCUAUGUCAAGCUCUCUCCCCAUUUUCAAAGGACAUUUUUCAGUCGUUCCGGUAGAGAAACGAACCCCUUGUCUCUGUCAUCCUCUUCAACUCAAGUGGAUAUCCGAAGUUACGACGACGGAGACGAAAUCAAAAACUAUUUUAUUAUUUGAUGCUUUGUUGUUUUGUGGUUCAGUAAAGUGAAAUUCAGUCAAUCGAUCA
Symsagittifera roscoffensis is the source of this 685-nucleotide long non-coding RNA. RefSeq lists it as uncharacterized. The transcript has 2 exons. The record is from RefSeq and is a predicted model, not a curated record. NCBI's taxonomy places the organism in Eukaryota, Metazoa, Xenacoelomorpha, Acoela, Convolutidae.